CUGUCAAAAAUCGGACCACUUGGUUUCUCCCACGCUGCUCUUUCGUGCUCAAGUGAAUGACGAGUGGGCCUCCAUCGCUCCCAGGGCCGGCUUGACAGUGUGUGAUGUGUGUGUGGCCUGUGCGUUGAGUGAAUUUUUUUGACCGAGGCGAUCGUGGGCGUAUCCAGUAUCCACCAAUCCCGCAUCCUUCUCGAGCCCCACAUCCCUAGCCAUGCCUCGCCGCCACCUCUCCUUCCCCCCAUUCAUCCUCUCGAGCCGCUGCCGCCGCCACCCCUAUCUCUCCUCCUCACACAUCCUUUCUCCUCGUCACAUCUGGCCGGAGGAGAAUGCUGCGGCCGCAUCCCCUGGCGAUGGCAGUGGGGGCGGGUGAGGCUGCAAGGCGACGAGCCAAGGCGGCAGUGCAGGGCCUCACAGGUUCUCGAUCUGGAGAGGCAGGGACGGACGCCGGCGAGGCUGGUCCCCCACCUCUCCUCACCUUCUCCGACGUUCCCGGUCUGGAGCGGGAGGGACGGACGCCGGCGAGGCCAGCCUCCCUUCACACACAGGUUUUAGAUCUUUCUAAACUAUUUGCUAUUGUUGUGUGAGAACUGAAUCAACUGAUGGAUAUCAAGAUUAUGUGGGAUGUUCUGCACAAUCAACUUGGGAAUAAUUAGCAAGUAGUGGUGUCAAUGGCAUCCGUCAGAGCCAUUUUGGUGGCACAUGCACACCACGUUCUGGAAUAACAUAAGUCUCACAAUCAACUUGGGCAGUUGAUGUAGGCUGCCUCAAUUUUCUGUCUGUGUAGCAGCAACAAGUUCAUGAAUCUACUGCUUGUUGCCUUUAUUAUUUUGAUCUAUGAAAAAAGAAAAUUUACCCUGUCAUUUAUGUGUACGUUUCUUCUCUUACUGAUUUUACUUGCUCGACAAAAGUGCAACAAAGCAAUUUUUUAUUCAUAUAGAUAUAUAAAAUGCAUUUUUAUGGUGUCUCUUUCUACAUGAUAUUCUUUGUGUUCCACGAUAAUUUUUAGUGAUUUUUGGUGAUGUAUAUGGAUUGCGGCAGAUGAAGGAGGAUGGAGGGAAUGUGGAUACGGCUUGGUUAGCAUCUAUUGAGGAAGUCACUAUGAAACAAGAGGAGAUGGAUAGGACUUUCAGAUCUGGCGUUCUCCCUGUCACUUACUGCCUGCUUUAUACACGGAAAUAAACAGAUAAUUUUACAGUCCGUACAUCGCAGGCCAAUAUAAAAAAGUACUUUUCCACUUCACAAAAUAAUACCUCAAAAGACACAUGUAUGAAGGGUAUACUGUUUUCCCAAUCAAAGUUGGAAACGGGCGCGCCAAUGUCAUUGCUCGGCUUAUCAUUGGAGUCGACAACAGAGCUCCCAUCGCAACAAACUGGGCUCAAUUCUUUCGCAUGACAAAUAUGAGAGCAGGAGCACCAUAUGUGUUUGCCUUUGAGGAACUAGCUGGGGAGCUCCAUCUCACUGUACAGACUCCCUCUGAUAGUGGUGUAGGCAGCCACCGGCAUUAUCUGAUAAUAUAAUUUAGGUUCAGGACUUGCGUCAUGUACUGUUUUGUGGCCCGUGAAAUCUGCUUCACAUCACCUUAUUCUUUUUUUUUUGCGGGUGAUCACCUUAUUCUUUCUGACUCGGCUACUUGGUUGUACGAACUGGAAGUACUCCAAAUGGUCUAAUUGUAGUUUCGUAGGAUU
Long non-coding RNA from Triticum dicoccoides, 1685 nucleotides. RefSeq lists it as uncharacterized. NCBI's taxonomy places the organism in Eukaryota, Viridiplantae, Streptophyta, Magnoliopsida, Poales, Poaceae. The record is from RefSeq and is a predicted model, not a curated record. The transcript has 5 exons.